RNAcentral lists this ribosomal RNA (1304 nucleotides) under metagenome. RNAcentral's name for it is "bacterial LSU rRNA". It matches the Rfam family "Bacterial large subunit ribosomal RNA", at positions 1648 to 2925 of the family's 2925-position model. The record is from RNAcentral.
UGUAAACCGACACUGGUGGGUGAGCAGAUAAUCUGCCAAGGCGCUUGAGAGAACUCGGGUUAAGGAACUCUGCAAAUUGAUACCGUAACUUCGGAAGAAGGUAUGCCUUCGACGGUGUAGGGAUUUACUCCCGAAGCUGUUGAAGGUCGCAGGUAAUCGGUGGCUGCGACUGUUUAUCAAAAACACAGGACUCUGCGAACACGCAAGUGGAAGUAUAGGGUCUGACGCCUGCCCGGUGCCGGAAGGUUAAUUGAUGGGGUUAGCCGCAAGGCGAAGCUCUUGAUCGAAGCCCCGGUAAACGGCGGCCGUAACAAUAACGGUCCUAAGGUAGCGAAAUUCCUUGUCGGGUAAGUUCCGACCUGCACGAAUGGCGUAACGCUGGCCACACUGUCUCGACCCGAGACUCAGUGAAGUUGAAAUCGCUGUGAAGAUGCGGCGUUCCCGCGGCAAGACGGAAAGACCCCGUGAACCUUCACUACAGCUUUACACUGAACUUUGAACCUUUCUGUGUAGGAUAGGUGGGAGGCUAUGAAACUUGGGCGCUAGCUCGAGUGGAGCCAACCUUGAAAUACCACCCUGGGAUGUUUGAAGUUCUAACCUUGGUCCGUAAUCCGGAUUGGGGACAGUGUAUGGUGGGUAGUUUGACUGGGGCGGUCUCCUCCCAAAGAGUAACGGAGGAGUGCAAUGGUACGCUCAGCGCGGUCGGUCAUCGCGCUCUAGAGUGCAAAGGCAUAAGCGUGCUUAACUGUGAGACAGACACGUCGAACAGGUACGAAAGUAGGUCUUAGUGAUCCGGUGGUUCUGUAUGGAAGGGCCAUCGCUCAACGGAUAAAAGGUACUCCGCGGAUAACAGGCUUAUUCCUCCCAAGAGUCCACAUCGACGGAGGAGUUUGGCACCUCGAUGUCGGCUCAUCACAUCCUGGGGCUGUAGCAGGUCCCAAGGGUAUGGCUGUUCGCCAUUUAAAGUGGUACGCGAGCUGGGUUCAGAACGUCGUGAGACAGUUCGGUCCCUAUCUGCCGUGGGCGUUGGAAACUUGAGGGUGAGCUGUCCUUAGUACGAGAGGACCGGGAUGGACGUAUCUCUGGUGUUCCGGUUGUCACGCCAGUGGCACUGCCGGGUAGCUAUAUACGGACGGGAUAAGCGCUGAAAGCAUCUAAGCGCGAAGCCCCCCCCAAGAUUAGGUUUCCCUGGGAACUCGAUUCCCCUAAAGGGCCGUCGGAGACUACGACGUUGAUAGGCUGGGUGUGUAAGUGCAGCAAUGCAUUGAGCUAACCAGUACUAAUUGCCCGUGAGGCUUGACCAU